CCGUUGAUUUGAGAGUGGUGGUGGCUUCUGGGUACAACGUCCGACGAUUUGAGGGUGGUGGUGGCCGUUUAGAAAUGGUGGUGGUUUGUGACGGUGCAGCGGAGAGUGAGUGCGAGAGAGAUAUUUGAGCUCUUUGCGUUUGGUAAUGAGUGAAAUGAGGGAGAAAUAAGAGAACCCCUAUUUUCUAAAGUUAACGGGCGUCUGGGCUUCUGGCGAAACCCAAAAAACCAAAAGGGAACAAAACCCUAUUCUCAUCCGC
RNAcentral lists this long non-coding RNA (259 nucleotides) under Vigna radiata. RNAcentral describes it as "long non-coding RNA (VRAD_LNC016381)". The record is from RNAcentral. Lineage: Eukaryota; Viridiplantae; Streptophyta; Magnoliopsida; Fabales; Fabaceae.